This 253-nucleotide ribosomal RNA is filed under the name uncultured bacterium. RNAcentral describes it as "partial 16S ribosomal RNA". It matches the Rfam family "Bacterial small subunit ribosomal RNA", at positions 524 to 776 of the family's 1533-position model. The record is from RNAcentral.
UACGGAGGAGGCAAGCGUUGUCCGGAUUUAUUGGGCGUAAAGAGCGUGUAGGCGGCUAUACAGGUCCGUUGUGAAAACUCGAGGCUCAACCUCGAGACGCCGAUGGAAACCGUAUGGCUAGAGUCCGGAAGAGGAGAGCGGAAUUCCUGGUGUAGCGGUGAAAUGCGCAGAUAUCAGGAAGAACACCCGUGGCGAAGGCGGCUCUCUGGGACGGUACUGACGCUGAGACGCGAAAGCGUGGGGAGCAAACAGG